GCCACAGUGGUGAAGUGGUAGCACGCGCCCACGAUAUGGGUGAAAGGCGGGUUCAACUCCCGCCUGAGAUCA
Non-coding RNA from Parelaphostrongylus tenuis, 72 nucleotides. Lineage: Eukaryota; Metazoa; Nematoda; Chromadorea; Rhabditida; Metastrongylidae. The record is from the annotation of a GenBank genome assembly.